Molecule: ribosomal RNA, 482 nt
Filed under: uncultured bacterium
Lineage: Bacteria
Description: partial 16S ribosomal RNA
Rfam family: Bacterial small subunit ribosomal RNA
Source: RNAcentral
AUUGAACGCUGGCGGCAUGAUUUACACAUGCAAGUCGAACGGUAACAGGCCGCAAGGUGCCGACGAGUGGCGAACGGGUGAGUAAUGCAUCGGGACGUGCCCAGUCGUGGGGGAUAACUACUCGAAAGAGUAGCUAAUACCGCAUACGAUCUAUGGAUGAAAGCGGGGGACCGUAAGGCCUCGCGCGAUUGGAGCGGCCGAUGUCAGAUUAGGUAGUUGGUGGGGUAAAGGCUCACCAAGCCAACGAUCUGUAGCUGGUCUGAGAGGACGACCAGCCACACUGGGACUGAGACACGGCCCAGACUCCUACGGGAGGCAGCAGUGGGGAAUUUUGGACAAUGGGCGCAAGCCUGAUCCAGCAAUGCCGCGUGCAGGAAGAAGGCCUUCGGGUUGUAAACUGCUUUUGUACGGAACGAAACGGCUCUGGUUAAUACCCGGGGCUAAUGACGGUACCGUAAGAAUAAGCACCGGCUAACUACGUG